UAAAUGUGCCGUCACCUGCUAGUGACUUCUGCCUUGAGACAAGUAAAGGUGGUAGGUCAUAAGGUCCACAGAUUUGCCAAUCCUUGUUUGGCUCCUCAAUGGCAAUGAACUAUGAGAAGUGUUCACAUUGUUAGCCAAAAACCUGAGAGCAUUAUUGGUGUAUAGAAUCUAGAAGCUGAGGACAAUUCCACACUGGAAACUUUGGUGCUAAAAUAGUUUAAGUGAAAAGUGCCAUUGGUGAGAAUAUUACAUUUGGUAAAUUCUGAUUAGUAAAUACUGAUCUCUGUGCUUGGUAGGCUCUCAGAGUAGAACUUUCUACCUUCUUACUUUUCUUCCACUGGGACAUGGGUUUUUAAAGUCAACUGGGCAGGGUCAAGGUGAAGAUGCUAGAUGUGAAGUUUGAUUUCAUUGUGGCUCUCAAUGUUAUUGCCCAAACGUGUUAUUUAUAUUCAAGAGUUAAACUUCUUUCCGCCCACCACCCCUUCCCAAAAAUGAGAUGAUGUUAUAAGGACCUCACAAAAUUCUUCAUCCUGUGAGGAUUAAAUUUCUAAUGGGGUACAGAACUGUUGGAAGGGAGCCUGCUCUAGGACUCAGGAAUUGUGUAAACCUUACAUAAAACCAUCACAUAACUCUAAAUAACAGUACAGGUAAACAGACUUGAGUGACUAAGGGUUGAACAAGGAUAACUCAAAGAAUAUAAUCAAAAGGUAAUUCAUUUUGGUCUCUUACUGCCUUUCUAAACUUUAUUUAACAGGGCUAUCUGCUGUGCCAGAUUAGAAAUAGUGCAGGUUCCAUGGUGUAUCAGCUCACUCUUGAAUAAUAAACAUUUGUAUUGACCUUUGACAUCAUAAAAUGUCCUAAUAAGACAUUUAGAAUGCAGUCCCAUGUUUUAGUCAAAACUCUGAACUUGACUUUGGGUGACACCUUCUACCCAACUCUAAAUCAGGUUUGUGACAGGUUGGAGCCAGACUGUGGAGACCAUGGUCCUUCUCUUUUGCUUUGCUGCCCUGCCCAUCUCCCCAUUCACGAUUGCACUGUUUGGUCAGCAGAGUCACGACGGAAACGUUCUCACAGCCAUUUCCCAGCAACAGGCUGGCAGGACCACCCCAAUGUUUCCAGUAAAGUCACUAACCAUUCUCUAGCUCUCCCAGCUGGGAGUCAGGCUUGAGUCCAGUUAGAAUUACUUUUCUCAAGUGUGGGUAAGGCACCAGACCUUUUGGUCUCCCAAUUUCAGAGAACAUAUUCAAAAGUUCUUAGCAUAAUCUCCUGGAGGAAGCCCUCUAAGUAGGCUUCGGCUGAGAAGGCAGCAGCCUUCCCAUCCCGGAAGAGGCAAUAGUCAUCUCCGCCCAAAAUCUCUUUACCAGUCUUUUGAUGAAAACUUAAACGUGAACAUCCUAUUAGAGGAGCACAUUAGAGACUGGAUACACUUUCUAGAACAGAUAUUCCUAAUUCAGGAGCUGAUUGCAGAAAGAAUGCCCAUUCCUGAACUCAGCUGAGAGCAAUCAGUGCUAAUUCCCCACGUGUACCAGCUUCCCACGGAUGCCGAAGUGGUCCCAAAAUCCUCUGUCCGCAGGCACAUCAGGGUUUCUCUCCCGAACUCCGUGGAUCUCCACUCCUUGUCACGCUUCUCGCCCUCACAGGGAUACAAGGAGACAAAUAAGGAAAAGUUCCUCAGGCAUUGUCUAGCCUUGCAUCAAGUUAAUUUCCAGGAGGGCUGAAUCUUAAAUUUGAAGAUGCUGAGCACCAGAGGAAUUAAGAAUACAAUCGUCUUGUAUCCAGUGUCAUGGAUAGCUACUUAAAAUCUCCUGGACAGAGUUUGCAGAUAUAUAUUUUGAAAAUCUUACUCUCAGUAUUUAUUUCAACUCUUUCGGUAAAUUUUAGAGUUUAAAAAAAUAGAAGAAGAAGGACAAGAAAACAGUGGCUCUCACUGCUGGAGCGAGGCGGAAGGAGCACGGAAAGAUGGCGCCGGCCCCCUGGCCUCCUCUAGGAAGGCACCUGUAGGUGCCCACACACCAGAUGCCUGUCCUCAGGCCGACGGGGCAAGACCAGCAAAUGACCCUCCUUCAGUCUGGACGCCUCUCCUUUAGCCGCUUGUGUGCAGGACCCUGGAGUAGGAGGAGUGAUGAGCUGAACCUAAGCGUGUCUGUGUUUGAUAGACUCUGAGGAGGAGAGUUUUUUGAAUAGAGAAGAUUUCUGGUAUCCACCAUCUGCCUCUGACCAUGGACCACUCUCUGGACAAUUUCAGUAUGAAGGCUUUUCAGAGGAUGGACAACAGGUCUAAAACUGCCUUCCAUCAUCUUUCCCUGUAUAUAGACCUCUUUCCAUGGUCCUGCUUCACUGAAUACCAUGGCUUUUUGCCUUCCCUCACUGAGUACAUUCAAUCCAAUACCUGGUGCUGCUGCUGCUAAGUUGCGUCAGUCGUGUCUGACUCUGCGACCCCAUAGAUGGCAGCCCACCAUGCUCCGCCGUCCCUGGGAUUCUCCA
Molecule: long non-coding RNA, 2484 nt
Organism: Bubalus bubalis (water buffalo)
Lineage: Eukaryota; Metazoa; Chordata; Mammalia; Artiodactyla; Bovidae
Exons: 3
Source: RefSeq, a predicted model, not a curated record